GGCCUGAGCAACAAGCGUAUAAUGCAGUCGUGCGACUGUAGGUUGUGAUACUUGUACCGACUGGAUGAGCAGCGAACGGGUGAGUAACGCGUGGGGAAUCUGCCUUUGAGCGGGGGACAACAUUUGGAAACGAAUGCUAAUACCGCAUAAAAACUUUAAACACAAGUUUUAAGUUUGAAAGAUGCAAUUGCAUCACUCAAAGAUGAUCCCGCGUUGUAUUAGCUAGUUGGUGAGGUAAAGGCUCACCAAGGCGAUGAUACAUAGCCGACCUGAGAGGGUGAUCGGCCACAUUGGGACUGAGACACGGCCCAAACUCCUACGGGAGGCAGCAGUAGGGAAUCUUCGGCAAUGGACGAAAGUCUGACCGAGCAACGCCGCGUGAGUGAAGAAGGUUUUCGGAUCGUAAAACUCUGUUGGUAGAGAAGAACGUUGGUGAGAGUGGAAAGCUCAUCAAGUGACGGUAACUACCCAGAAAGGGACGGCUAACUACGUGCCAGCAGCCGCGGUAAUACGUAGGUCCCGAGCGUUGUCCGGAUUUAUUGGGCGUAAAGCGAGCGCAGGUGGUUUAUUAAGUCUGGUGUAAAAGGCAGUGGCUCAACCAUUGUAUGCAUUGGAAACUGGUAGACUUGAGUGCAGGAGAGGAGAGUGGAAUUCCAUGUGUAGCGGUGAAAUGCGUAGAUAUAUGGAGGAACACCGGUGGCGAAAGCGGCUCUCUGGCCUGUAACUGACACUGAGGCUCGAAAGCGUGGGGAGCAAACAGGAUUAGAUACCCUGGUAGUCCACGCCGUAAACGAUGAGUGCUAGAUGUAGGGAGCUAUAAGUUCUCUGUAUCGCAGCUAACGCAAUAAGCACUCCGCCUGGGGAGUACGACCGCAAGGUUGAAACUCAAAGGAAUUGACGGGGGCCCGCACAAGCGGUGGAGCAUGUGGUUUAAUUUCGAAGCAACGCGAAGAACCUUACCAGUCGUGACAUACUCGUGCUAUUCCUAGAGAUAGGAAGUUCCUUCGGGACACGGAUACAGGUGGUGCAUGGCUGUCGUCAGCUCGUGUCGUGAGAAUGUUGGGUUAGUCCCGCACGAGCGCACCCCUAUGGUAGUGCAUCAUAAGUGGUCACUCUAACGAGACUGGCGGUGAUGACUGAGAGUGAAUGACGUCAUCAUCAUGCCCGUUAUAGAAC
This 1176-nucleotide ribosomal RNA is filed under the name Lactococcus lactis. RNAcentral describes it as "bacterial SSU rRNA". It matches the Rfam family "Bacterial small subunit ribosomal RNA", at positions 41 to 1209 of the family's 1533-position model. The record is from RNAcentral. Lineage: Bacteria; Bacillati; Bacillota; Bacilli; Lactobacillales; Streptococcaceae.